UAGGGAAUAUUGGGCAAUGGACGCAAGUCUGACCCAGCCAUGCCGCGUGAAGGAUGAAUGCCCUUUGGGUUGUAAACUUCUUUUAUCUGGGAAGAAAAUCAGUGAUUCAUCAUUGACUGACGGUACCAGAGGAAUAAGCACCGGCUAACUCCGUGCCAGCAGCCGCGGUAAUACGGAGGGUGCAAGCGUUAUCCGGAAUCACUGGGUUUAAAGGGUACGUAGGCGGCUUGAUAAGUCAGGAGUGAAAGGUCUCGGCUUAACCGAGGAAAUGCUUUUGAUACUGUCAAGCUUGGAUUGAUGCGAUGUGGGCAGAAUGCGCCAUGUAGCGGUGAAAUGCAUAGAUAUGGCGUAGAAUACCGAUUGCGAAGGCAGCUCACAAGAAUCAUAUUGACGCUGAGGU
Molecule: ribosomal RNA, 400 nt
Filed under: uncultured bacterium
Lineage: Bacteria
Description: bacterial SSU rRNA
Rfam family: Bacterial small subunit ribosomal RNA
Source: RNAcentral